GGGUUCGUGGCUCAGUUGGUAGAGCGUCCCGGUCACAUCGGGAAGGUCGGGGGUUCAAAUCCCUCCGAACCCACCA
Molecule: transfer RNA, 76 nt
Filed under: Patescibacteria group bacterium
Lineage: Bacteria
Also listed under: 1 other name
Description: tRNA-Val
Rfam family: tRNA
About the family: Transfer RNA (tRNA) molecules are approximately 80 nucleotides in length. Their secondary structure includes four short double-helical elements and three loops (D, anti-codon, and T loops).
Source: RNAcentral